AUAUGCCUAUAAUUAACCUUCUCCUACUUAUCAUUCCAACUCUAAUCGCUAUAGCAUUCCUUACAAUCAUUGAACGAAAAAUCUUAGGCUAUAUACACCUACGCAAAGGACCUAACAUUGUAGGUGCCUGCGGACUGCUUCAACCAUUCGCUGACGCAAUAAAACGUUUCAUCCAAGAGCCCUUACAGACCUCAACAUCUACAUCUACUAUCACCCUUUAUAUUAUUGCUCCAACCCUGGCCCUUUCUAUCACUCUUCUCUGUGAAGUCCCCUCCCUAUACCAAAUCCCCUAAUUAAUUUUAAUACAGGCCUCCUAUUUAUACUAGCCACAUCAAGCCUAGCCGUCUACUCUAUUCUAUGAUCAGGAUGAGCAUCUAAUUCAAAUUAUGCACUAAUCGAUGCAUUACGAGCUGUGGCCCAGACAAUUUCAUAUGAGGUCACCCUAGCCAUUAUCCUCCUAUCAGUCCUACUGAUAAGUGGCUCAUUUAAUUUAUAUGCACUCAUCACAAUGCAAGAAUCCCUCUGACUGCUUCUACCAUCACGGCCCCUAGCCAUGAUAUGAUUUAUCUCCACAUUAGCAGAAACUAUCCGAGCCCCUUUUGAUCUAACAGGAGAGUCAGAGUUAGUCUCAGGCUUCAACAUUGAACAUGCCACAGGUUCAUUUGCUCUCUUCUUUAUAGCAGAAUAUAUGAAUAUUAUCAUAAUAAAUGCCCUAACUACUACUAUUUUCCUAGGAGCACUGCACACUAGAUAUUCACCAGAACUCUAUUCCACAAAUUUCAUUACCAAGACCCCCCUUUUAACCACCCUGCUUUUAUGAAUUCAAACAGCAUACCCCCAAUUCUGCUAUGACCAACUCAUAUCUUCUACGAAAAAAUUUCCUAUCACUUACACUAGCAUUUUGCAUGUCAUAUAUCUCAAUGCCCGUCCUAAUUUCCAGCAUUCCACACCA
RNAcentral lists this long non-coding RNA (952 nucleotides) under Homo sapiens (human). RNAcentral's name for it is "non-protein coding lnc-PRSS37-1:1". Lineage: Eukaryota; Metazoa; Chordata; Mammalia; Primates; Hominidae. The record is from RNAcentral.